This 477-nucleotide ribosomal RNA is filed under the name uncultured organism. RNAcentral's name for it is "partial 16S ribosomal RNA". It matches the Rfam family "Bacterial small subunit ribosomal RNA", at positions 331 to 799 of the family's 1533-position model. The record is from RNAcentral.
GUACACUCCUGCGGGAGGCAGCAGUGGGGAAUAUUGCACAAUGGGCGCAAGCCUGAUGCAGCCAUGCCGCGUGUAUGAAGAAGGCCUUCGGGUUGUAAAGUACUUUCAGCGGGGAGGAAGGCGAUAAGGUUAAUAACCUUGUUGAUUGACGUUACCCGCAGAAGAAGCACCGGCUAACUCCGUGCCAGCAGCCGCGGUAAUACGGAGGGUGCAAGCGUUAAUCGGAAUUACUGGGCGUAAAGCGCACGCAGGCGGUCUGUCAAGUCGGAUGUGAAAUCCCCGGGCUCAACCUGGGAACUGCAUUCGAAACUGGCAGGCUAGAGUCUUGUAGAGGGGGGUAGAAUUCCAGGUGUAGCGGUGAAAUGCGUAGAGAUCUGGAGGAAUACCGGUGGCGAAGGCGGCCCCCUGGACAAAGACUGACGCUCAGGUGCGAAAGCGUGGGGAGCAAACAGGAUUAGAUACCCUUGUAGUCCCAUG